CUGGGCUUUGCUCCACUUGGAGUCAGCUGAUUGGCAGGAGGGCAUCUGAAAUUGAGAGGAGGUUUCAGGCCGUUUACCCAGCCCUUUAGUGGGGAUCUGUCCGGGACUCUGCAGUCUGAACCUGCAACUGUAAAAGGCAUGGUCCCUGGAAACAACCCUGGUGCUGUCCAGCAGCGUGUUGAACAGGAAGUUGUGUGUGCGAAUACAAGGUUCCAUAAAAUUCCUGAUGGAGAUCGUGGAGUGAAAAGAAAUUAUCACAGAAUUCCAA
This 268-nucleotide long non-coding RNA is filed under the name Homo sapiens (human). RNAcentral describes it as "non-protein coding lnc-NDN-3:2". The record is from RNAcentral. Lineage: Eukaryota; Metazoa; Chordata; Mammalia; Primates; Hominidae.